Molecule: long non-coding RNA, 1260 nt
Filed under: Triticum aestivum (bread wheat)
Lineage: Eukaryota; Viridiplantae; Streptophyta; Magnoliopsida; Poales; Poaceae
Description: long non-coding RNA (TAES_LNC010827)
Source: RNAcentral
CAAAGGCCGAGUGAGUUCAUGUAAAAAGGAGGCCGAGUGAGCCCAUCACUGGGAGAACACAGCCACACACAACGCCGACGGCUAUCCCAGCUCGGCACCUCCGCCGCCGUACUCCCUCCAUCUCCCCAAUCUCGUAUUUGCUUUCUCUGCACUCCCCAACCUCUCGUGCGCCGAAGCGGACAGGGGACCAGCUCGAGAUCGGGCCGAGGAGACCGGUGACCGUUGAGCACCACCGGCGGCAACCGGCGUGGUGGUGGCGGAGGAGGAGGAACAUGGGCAGCGUCGGCGGCGCCGGUGGUGAACAGAGCGCGAGCGGCGGAGCGGGCGGGGGCAGGCGGCGGCGGCCUCUCGCUCUCGGGCUUGGGUAAGAGCAACCUGAACUGUCUUACAGUCUGUACUACCCUGAGAUACAAUAGUAAGCCUGUACUCUGUACCACACUCAGAUAUAAGUCUGUACUAUUAUGCUGUCCAUAGACAUACAAGUAGAAUGUUGCAAUGCUUGGCGCAUUGCGGUGCAUCCCAGUAAACUCUGAUUCAGACACCAAGUUUUUCUCCGGCCAUUUGCUUAUUGAUUGUGUAAAGAAAAAUCUUACUAAUGUGGCUAUUGUAUACCAUAGAUGUCACGGCCUGCAUUGCAGUUUCACACCACAAUCCCAACCAGUGCGUAAAUGAGUUUGUUGAAUUUGUAGAUGAUAUCUGAUAGCACUACAUCUGUUACCCAAUAUCUAUAGUACUUUGACAGAUUGGCAUGCCCUUUUCUGUUUACAUAUUUGCUUGUACAAUAAUAUAACCUUUAAGCUGAUGAAUAGCCGGUUCGGCCGUUCCUGGUGCUUGCUUAUCCUGGGGUUAGGAGGAAGAGGAAGAGCUCAUCUCAUGCAAGGUCAUCUCGCCGAAGCACACUUACAACUUACAAGCUGUGGCCGUAGCCACACCUGUUCUACAGCGCCAGUAAUGGAAAGGCCAUUCCCAAAUUCUGACACCUCAAUCUCAAUAUGUGUACAUAUCACCAGGUAAUAGAGGAUGUUCCCAAACAAAUGCAAGAUGUGCAUGAGAAACAAAUGAGUAAUUACAGAGUUGAUAGCUUAGCAGCUGAGGUGAUCCUCCUAUCGUAAACUCUUUAUGCAGAUGGUACUUAUCAUUGUACCAGAUCUAUCAAUCUUGUUCAUGAGGCAACAAAUCUAGCUAUUGACGGUAAUAACGUACUUACAGGCUUUCAUAUCAAUGCCUCAUUAGCGUACAUCAUAGAUAAGUAAGCACUCU